RNAcentral lists this ribosomal RNA (156 nucleotides) under Trailliaedoxa gracilis. RNAcentral's name for it is "5.8S ribosomal RNA". It matches the Rfam family "5.8S ribosomal RNA". Rfam says of the family: 5.8S ribosomal RNA (5.8S rRNA) is a component of the large subunit of the eukaryotic ribosome. It is transcribed by RNA polymerase I as part of the 45S precursor that also contains 18S and 28S rRNA. Functionally, it is thought that 5.8S rRNA may be involved in ribosome translocation. The record is from RNAcentral. Lineage: Eukaryota; Viridiplantae; Streptophyta; Magnoliopsida; Gentianales; Rubiaceae.
GACUCUCGGCAACGGAUAUCUCGGCUCUCGCAUCGAUGAAGAACGUAGCGAAAUGCGAUACUUGGUGUGAAUUGCAGAAUCCCGCGAACCAUCGAGUCUUUGAACGCAAGUUGCGCCCGAAGCCGUCAGGCCGAGGGCACGCCUGCCUGGGCGUCA